ACACACACACACCUUUGAUAUUUCUUAAUGAACUCCUUUCUUUCUAUUCAAGAACGUAGUGAAUGACGCGCAAUAAUAAUCUGACCUUUCUUCAUUUAUUUUUCCUACAUUAUUUUUUUUUUCAGCGUUCCAUUCAUAUUUUCUUUUAUUAAUACUUCAAGCGACGCGACAUAAUCUGACCCUUAGUUUUUUUUUUUCUCAUUUAUUUUCUUUUUCAUUCUUCAUUCAGAUUUUAUUUUAUACUUUCCUUGUAAGAGCGUUAAUGACAAGUACAGUGACCUAACCUCAAUUUGCCCUCAAUUUGUAAGUGUAAAAAAAAAACAAAAAAAAACAGGAGUAUUUAGAAAGGGAAGAAAAUAUAAAAGAAUUUGCUGCUGACACACACACAAAAAGAAACAUUAAAAUAAAAGAGAAAAAAGAAUAAAUUAAAAAAAAAUACAUAAAAAGAAAAUUAAGGAAUUGAAAAAGAAAAGCACAUCAGUAAAAGAAAACAGAAGAAAAAGAAGAAAAUCAUACUUCAAAUCAUUAUAAAAAGAAAAGAACAAGAAAAAAAGGAAAAGAAAAUACAAAAAGACAAAAAACAAAAAACAAAACAAAAAUCACAACUUACCUUAUAAUCCAGCGAAGUGUGGCAACCGUAACAGUAGUAGUAGUAGUAGUAGUAGUAGUAGUAGUAGUAGUAGUAGUAGUGGUGGCAGGAGGUAAAAAGGGCAAAAGAAGGGGGUCAACACAUGGGGGUCAACCUCAAUGUGACCUGCCUGACCUAACAAACACUGGGGGUCGCAUCAGGUCAGGUUAGGUCACACUACAGCCCCCCAUGUGACGCCCCCUCCCCCCUUUGACUAACCUGAUCCCCUCCUGCCUGUCACCUGUCCUGCGCGGUCCGUCCCUGCAGGUAAUGACAAGUAACAAGGUGAGCACAGGUGAAGGCAAUAAUGAGUAAGGUAUUGAAAGGUAAAGGUAAUUAUUAAAACAGGUAACAAUGGAGCACAGGUAUAGGUGAUUGGUAAGGUAAUGAAAGGUAAUCGUAAUGAGAACAUGAAAUAAUGGGGUGAAUUUAGGGCAGGCUAUGUUAGGUUAGGUUAGGCUAGGUGAGGUUAGGUUAGGCUAUGUUAGGUUAGGUAAGGCUGUCAGGAUUGGUUAGGCUUUGUUAGGAUAGAUUAGGUUAGCUUAGGCAAGGUUAUGUAUGUCAGGAUAAGUUAGGCAAGGUUAGGUUAGGCUAUGUUAGUUAGGUAAGGCUGUCAGGAUUGGUUAGGCUUUGUUAGGAUAGAUUAGGUUAGCUUAGGCAAGGUUAUGUAUGUCAGGAUAAGUUAGGCAAGGUUAGGUUAGGCUAUGUUAGUUAGGUAAGGCUGUCAGGAUUGGUUAGGCUAUGUUAGGCUAGAUUUGGUUAGCUUAGGCAAGGCUAUGUAUGUCAGGAGAAGUUAGGCAAUGUUAGGCUAUAUAGGGGUGAUAGUCCGCGCGUGGGCGUAAUGCAGCGCGGGUCCCCGGGCACACGUCAGCGCAUUGGUGUCAACGGGUACAGGGCGGCAUGGGGGUGACUUUCAACGUGAUUGGUUCAAGUGUGCCGUUCCCGAUACACUAUAUUUAUGUAACUUCAUUUGUAAGAAGAACAUGCAUGC
Long non-coding RNA from Eriocheir sinensis (Chinese mitten crab), 1619 nucleotides. RefSeq lists it as uncharacterized. The record is from RefSeq and is a predicted model, not a curated record. The transcript is spliced from 4 exons. Lineage: Eukaryota; Metazoa; Arthropoda; Malacostraca; Decapoda; Varunidae.